This 474-nucleotide ribosomal RNA is filed under the name uncultured bacterium. RNAcentral describes it as "partial 16S ribosomal RNA". It matches the Rfam family "Bacterial small subunit ribosomal RNA", at positions 28 to 507 of the family's 1533-position model. The record is from RNAcentral.
GAUGAACGCUAGCGGCAGGCCUAACACAUGCAAGUCGAGGGAGGAGCCUUCGAGCUUCGUCCGGCGUCCGGGUCCGUAACGCGUAUACAAUCUGCCUUUCACCUAGGGUUAGACAGAGGGAAAAUGUCUUAAUACCGAAUGGUAUAUAGAUGUGGCAUCACCUUUAUAUUAAAGCUGAGGCGGUGACAGUUGAGUAUGCGUUCUAUGAGCUAGUUGGAGAGGUAACGGCUCCCCAAGGCGACGAUAGAUAGGGGGUCUGAGAGGGAUAUCCCCCACACUGGUACUGAGAUACAGACCAGACCGGUACGGGAGGCAGCAGUGAGUAAUAUAGGACACUGGUCGGAAGACUGAUCCAGCCAUGCCGGUUGCAGGAAGACGGCGUUAUGGGUAGUAAACUGCUUGUGCAGAGGAAGAAUAAGGAUUACGCGUCGUUUGAUGACGGUACCCUGCGAAUAAGCAUCGGCUAACUACGUG